Molecule: ribosomal RNA, 268 nt
Filed under: uncultured bacterium
Lineage: Bacteria
Description: partial 16S ribosomal RNA
Rfam family: Bacterial small subunit ribosomal RNA
Source: RNAcentral
AAUCCUGGCUCAGGAUGAACGCUAGCGACAGGCUUAACACAUGCAAGUCGAGGGGCAGCGGGGAGUAGCAAUACUUCGCCGGCGACCGGCGCACGGGUGAGUAACACGUGUGCAACCAACCCCGUACCGGGAGAUAACCCGCGGAAACGUGGACUAACAUCCCAUAACACUGGAGGAUCGCAUGAUCUUUCAUUUAAAAUUCCGGUGGUACGGGACGGGCACGCGCGACAUUAGGUAGUUGGCGGGGUAACGGCCCACCAAGCCGACG